RNAcentral lists this ribosomal RNA (253 nucleotides) under uncultured bacterium. Its description in RNAcentral is "partial 16S ribosomal RNA". It matches the Rfam family "Bacterial small subunit ribosomal RNA", at positions 524 to 776 of the family's 1533-position model. The record is from RNAcentral.
UACGGAGGGGGCUAGCGUUGUUCGGAAUUACUGGGCGUAAAGCGCGCGUAGGCGGACCUGCAAGUCGGUGGUGAAAGCCCGAGGCUCAACCUCGGAACUGCCUUCGAUACUGCGGGUCUCGAGUCCGGGAGAGGUGAGUGGAAUUCCUAGUGUAGAGGUGAAAUUCGUAGAUAUUAGGAAGAACACCAGUGGCGAAGGCGGCUCGCUGGCCCGGUACUGACGCUGAGGCGCGAAAGCGUGGGGAGCAAACAGG